Molecule: ribosomal RNA, 486 nt
Filed under: uncultured bacterium
Lineage: Bacteria
Description: partial 16S ribosomal RNA
Rfam family: Bacterial small subunit ribosomal RNA
Source: RNAcentral
GACGAACGCUGGCGGCGUGCUUAACACAUGCGAGUCGAACGGGAUCCAAAGGCUUUUUGUUUUUGGUGAGAGUGGCGAACGGGUGAGUAACACGUGAGUAACCUGCCCCCUUCUUUUGGAUAACCGCAUGAAAGUGUGGCUAAUACAGGAUAUUCCAGGCUGGUCGCAUGAUUGGUUUGGGAAAUGGUUUGGUCUGGUGGGGGAUGGGCUCGCGGCCUAUCAGCUUGUUGGUGGGGUGAUGGCCUACCAAGGCGGUGACGGGUAGCCGGCCUGAGAGGGUGGGCGGUCACACUGGGACUGAGAUACGGCCCAGACUCCUGCGGGAGGCCGCAGUGGGGGAUUUUGCACAAUGGGCGCAAGCCUGAUGCAGCGACGCCGCGUGAGGGAUGAAGGCCUUCGGGUUGUAAACCUCUUUCGCUGGGUUGAAAGGCCAUGCUUUGGGUGUGGUUGAUUUGAACUGGUAAAGAAGUACCGGCUAACUACGUG